CGUAUGAUGAACAUCGAGUUCCCAAACUUUGAGCAGAGGACGCUCGAACUGUUGGCCGAGCACGGCCUCUGGGAUCAUCUUGAGAUUGUCAAACUGUUUAGCAAGUAUGCCGCGAGGCUCCAGGAGGUAAUUAAGAGGGACAAGGUCCGCCCAGCGGAGAAGGUUGCAAAGUCGGCGAAGGCACGCCAGUAGCUUCUCCUGCGCCUCCACAUGUGGUAUACUAUCUGGAGCGUGAAGCUGGAGUUUGGCUGGAGUUUAUCUGGUGAUGUCUAUGAAGCUGCAGUUUGGUUGUUUGUCUUGACCGAGGAUCAAGCCAUGAACUUCUGGCAGCCCAGAAACUGUUGUUGUGUGCGGGCUAUCUUGUCAGUUUCAGUAAUUCGUAAAAAAACCGAUUGCUUGUGUGCAAUUCAUGAAUUUGUGGUCUCUGGCACUUAAAAAGUCAAAUUUGUCUGUAUAACAUUCAAUCGUCGCCAAGAUUCUGCUUCAUCAAA
Triticum urartu is the source of this 491-nucleotide long non-coding RNA. RefSeq lists it as uncharacterized. NCBI's taxonomy places the organism in Eukaryota, Viridiplantae, Streptophyta, Magnoliopsida, Poales, Poaceae. The record is from RefSeq and is a predicted model, not a curated record.